Molecule: long non-coding RNA, 2239 nt
Organism: Dendronephthya gigantea
Lineage: Eukaryota; Metazoa; Cnidaria; Anthozoa; Malacalcyonacea; Nephtheidae
Exons: 3
Source: RefSeq, a predicted model, not a curated record
UGGAUGGAAAAGUAAAACUGUAAAAUAUAUUCCCUUCAGGUUCUCCUUUGAAAACAAGACUUCAAGGUAAUUAAAACCAGGCAUGGCAACCACAACACCUUCAUCAUAUCGUAUUGCGAAGAAAAUUACCCGCCACUACAAUCAUAUCUCGUUUUUACGUACAUGUAAGUCUUUGAAAUUAAUACCUAAUGGUCUACGCGCAACAUACUCUUUUGAAAACUUAAAAUAGAGAAGAAUAAUUAAUCAUAGAUAAUAUAGACUGAUUGAUAAUUGUAUCAAUCCCCAAUUUACACUAACCUUACUAUAUAAGACAAUGAAAGUGCAUACAAUGUAUCAUGGAGGAAAAACAAAAGAUUUCAUCGAUGAUAUAAAUAUUGCUUCCUUGCUGACUCAAUUGUGGUGGAACAGUAAGUGAUACCCUUGUUGUUGUACGUGGAGUUCUUAUGAUGAUCUGUGUUUAGCAAACUUGGUUUCUGUCUACUUUUUAAUCCCAGAUUUUGUAUUUUGUGUGGUCAGUUGUAUUUUGAAAAUGAUCCUGUCGAACUAAAGUGUCAGUAUAGUUGAGUAGUUGGUAAUAAGUAACUGCAUCUGGUUGUAGGCAAUGCUACCAAAAAUACAGUCUAUCAUUCCUAUGAAUUCCUAUGAUAUUAUUUAAUAAUCAGGAUUGACUUCUUAAACAUAAUAAUUCAAUUUAUUCUGAUAUAGGGCUCAUAAAAGAAUAUCCCGCUCUUUGACUUAUUUAUUACAGAGGAGAAAAAAAUGAAAGCAGUUGCUCAUCCACAAACCUAACACUGCUCAUUGUCACGGCGGUGGUACUGAUAUUCUUUUUUCUUCCGGUGGGUUUUAUCGUCUACUGGUGUACGAAAAAAAAUUAUCUGCAAUGUCAGGGAGAAGGAUUACUGGGCGCUCCCGCCAGGGCAACGACGAUACAAGCAAUUACAUACAGGUCAGCUCCUGCAAAAUCAAACCUCUUCUUUUCUUAUGAAACUCGUGGAGCUGCUCACUCCUGAAGGUAGGCCAAACUGGAAAGAUCUAGCGGCAAAUUUUGGCGAUUUCGCUUACGAGGAAAUCGCGAACUUCGGAGUUGGCAAAACUACAGUGGAGACCAAAAUCACGUCAACCAUCGACAAAUUAUAUAGAUGUUGUCUCAACAUUAAGAAGGAAGAUGUGGCGACGUACAUUGCCGAUUGUGUAAGCCAAAUAACAGACACUACACUUGUGUAGACAAUUGGCCUUUUUUGACAGGCGAUAUCCGCCGUUUCCUGCAUGCCUAUAUGGGUACCAAGUGAGCACACGACUUCGUUUCGACGUGGAAUUUUGGUUGAACUUUUGUCGCGACGUCGAUCAGCGGGAAAUCGACGUUGUUUCCACGUCAAGGUCAUUUCCACGACGUCGAAUCAAUGUCGCUUGUCAACGUUGUUUCAAGGUUGAAACAUGGUCGAUACGUAGUUAUAUACGUACAGGGUCGUUCGGCAACCAAAAAUCGACUGGCUUUCAAUAUUGCCGCAUUGCCGUGUUAACACAACCUACGACUUCAACAUUGCCGUGUUAACAAACCUACGACUUAAUUUUUUACGGCGAAUUGGUUAGCUGAUAGUGUCUGAUACUGUAUAAAAUAUUUCGAGAAAUUUGUACGUUCUUGAAAAAAGCGUUAAUGCAGGAUUCCGGGAGUCGGUUUGUAGUAUAGUUUACAGCUAUAGCCCGUGGACAGACACAUUAAAAUAAACAAUUGGCCGUGGAAAAAAUUAUUGUUCCUUAUACUUAGCUCUUUGACUCGAGUUCGUUUUUCCGGAGCAAGAGAUUUAAGGGGCGGCUGCCAUUCUGCGAAACACAGAUUGGAUAAUCUUUAUUUGUUUGUUAUUGUUGACUGGCAUACCAAGAGAAGUUUUUGGAAGGUAAGAUGAGUGGAUAGAUUCAUAAACAUUCCGAUGCCUAAUGAGUUAGCCCAUUAACAGGCAAAAAACCUUUGUCGACCCCCAGCGUCGCUAGCUGCAGGCCGUAUCACCCUAAUCGGGAACCUGCGCACAGGUAGAGCGGUUUUGAAAUGGGCUGUUGAUGUUUCUCCUGCUUUCAACAUGCGACCUAUACUAUAGUUCGGUAUAUUGUUCAUUUUUAUUAUUAAGAACAUUUACGACACAAAAUUUGCAUAGCUGGGCUGGCUACGUCGCUGCGAACGACGCGAUCAUAACGCCUAGUAGGCGUCUUGUUAUAUAUUGUUCGUUAAAAUUUCUAUAAGAUU